Molecule: ribosomal RNA, 253 nt
Filed under: uncultured organism
Description: partial 16S ribosomal RNA
Rfam family: Bacterial small subunit ribosomal RNA
Source: RNAcentral
AACGUAGGAGGCGAGCGUUAUCCGGAUUUACUGGGCGUAAAGCGUACGCAGGCGGCUUCGUUAGUCGGAUGUGAAAGCUCCUGGCUUAACUGGGAGAGGCCAUUCGAUACUGCGGGGCUUGAGGUUGGGAGAGGGGUAUGGAAUUCCCGGUGUAGUGGUGGAAUGCGUAGAUAUCGGGAGGAACACCAGUGGCGAAGGCGGUACCCUGGCCCACACCUGACGCUGAGGUACGAAAGCGUGGGUAGCAAACAGG